GCAGCUUACCAUGCAGAUCGAGGGGUAUAGUACAAUACUAGAGACCGGCGCACGGGUGCGUAACGCGUAUGCAAUCUACCUUUUGCAGGGGAAUAGCCCAGAGAAAUUUGGAUUAAUGCCCCAUAGUAUAUAGACCUCGCAUGAGGAUUAUAUUAAAGUCACAACGGCAAAAGAUGAGCAUGCGUCCCAUUAGCUAGUUGGUAAGGUAACGGCUUACCAAGGCUACGAUGGGUAGGGGUCCUGAGAGGGAGAUCCCCCACACUGGUACUGAGACACGGACCAGACUCCUACGGGAGGCAGCAGUGAGGAAUAUUGGACAAUGGGCGCAAGCCUGAUCCAGCCAUGCCGCGUGCAGGAUGAAGCAUCUAUGGUGUGUAAACUGCUUUUGUACGAGAAGAAACACUGCUUCGUGAAGCAGCUUGACGGUAUCGUAAGAAUAAGGAUCGGCUAACUCCGUGCCAGCAGCCGCGGUAAUACGGAGGAUCCAAGCGUUAUCCGGAAUCAUUGGGUUUAAAGGGUCCGUAGGCGGGCUAGUAAGUCAGUGGUGAAAUCUCUCGGCUCAACCGGGAAAUGGCCAUUGAUACUGCUAGUCUUGUAAUUAUUAGGAAGUAACUAGAAUAUGUAGUGUAGCGGUGAA
This 637-nucleotide ribosomal RNA is filed under the name uncultured bacterium. Its description in RNAcentral is "bacterial SSU rRNA". It matches the Rfam family "Bacterial small subunit ribosomal RNA", at positions 46 to 685 of the family's 1533-position model. The record is from RNAcentral.